GGGGAUGUGGCGGAAUUGGUAUACGCGUAUGUUUGAGGUGCAUAUGGGGCAACCCAUGAGAGUUCGAUUCUCUCCAUCCCCA
This 82-nucleotide transfer RNA is filed under the name Acidobacteriota bacterium. Its description in RNAcentral is "tRNA-Leu". It matches the Rfam family "tRNA". From Rfam's summary of the family: Transfer RNA (tRNA) molecules are approximately 80 nucleotides in length. Their secondary structure includes four short double-helical elements and three loops (D, anti-codon, and T loops). The record is from RNAcentral. Lineage: Bacteria; Pseudomonadati; Acidobacteriota.